This 75-nucleotide transfer RNA is filed under the name SAR202 cluster bacterium. RNAcentral describes it as "tRNA-Ile". It matches the Rfam family "tRNA". From Rfam's summary of the family: Transfer RNA (tRNA) molecules are approximately 80 nucleotides in length. The record is from RNAcentral. Lineage: Bacteria; Bacillati; Chloroflexota; Dehalococcoidia.
GGGCUCGUAGCUCAGUGGUAGAGCGGUCGGCUCAUAACCGAUUGGUCGUAGGUUCGAUCCCUGCCGAGCCCACCA